GACGUAGGGCGCGAGCGUUGUCCGGAUUUAUUGGGCGUAAAGAGCUCGUAGGCGGCUUGUUGCGUCAGCUGUGAAAACCCGCAGCUCAACUGUGGGCUUGCAGCUGAUACGGGCAGGCUUGAGUUCGGUAGGGGAGACUGGAAUUCCUGGUGUAGCGGUGAAAUGCGCAGAUAUCAGGAGGAACACCGGUGGCGAAGGCGAGUCUCUGGACAUUUCCUGACGCUGAGGCACGAAAGCCAGGGGAGCAAACGGG
RNAcentral lists this ribosomal RNA (253 nucleotides) under uncultured bacterium. RNAcentral describes it as "partial 16S ribosomal RNA". It matches the Rfam family "Bacterial small subunit ribosomal RNA", at positions 524 to 776 of the family's 1533-position model. The record is from RNAcentral.